UACGUAGGGCGCAAGCGUUGUCCGGAAUUAUUGGGCGUAAAGGGCUCGUAGGCGGUCUGUUGCGUCAGGAGUGAAAACUCGGGGCUUAACCCCGAGCCUGCUUCUGAUACGGGCAGACUAGAGGUAUGCAGGGGAGAACGGAAUUCCUGGUGUAGCGGUGAAAUGCGCAGAUAUCGUAAGGAAGGCCGGUGGCGAAAGCGAGCCUCUGGACAGUUACUGACGCUGAUGCACGAAGGCCAGGGGAGCAAACGGG
Molecule: ribosomal RNA, 253 nt
Filed under: uncultured bacterium
Lineage: Bacteria
Description: partial 16S ribosomal RNA
Rfam family: Bacterial small subunit ribosomal RNA
Source: RNAcentral